AUCCACGGGGGGUCUCUUCCUAUAUAAAGGUAUAUACAUAUGUGCCGCUGGAAUGGGUCCCUUUUUUUGAUCCGUCAAAUAUAUCAAUGGGGUGCAAUUUUACCGAGGAAAUAUAUCAAUAGGUAGUAAUUGACCGAUUGUGAUAUAUCAAUGGGUGAUAAAUAUAUGAAUGGGUUAUGAUUUCGCUGUGAAAUAUAUGUUUAGGUAGGGAUUUCACAAUUAUUCAAUAUAUGAAUGGGGGGUGUUUUUAAAAUCCCAGCUGCACACCUGUACCCAAAAUCCCAUGUUGAGACCCCCCCCCCCCCCCCCCGUGACUACAUCUUUCAUUUAAGAAAUAUAUAUCUACUCUAUAAAGCUAAGUAUUUAGAGACAAUCUAUACCUGUAAUGGAUUAUGUAUCUGGUUUAAAUUUCUUUGUUUCCUUAUUACUCCAGGAUCUUGAUACUUGGCAUGUAAAUUUGUUAAUACUAGAGUCAUGAAUUACACAGUUAUCCCCACAGUGGCAUACAAACAGAUGUUAUGAUAUAAGACUUUUCAAAGGCAUUUAACAAGGUAUCUCACGAGAAAUUAUUAAGAAAGAUGGAUAAUUAGAGCAUAUUAAGUGGAAAUACCUGGAACUUGGUAUCACAUACCUGCCAACACUUCAAAAUGCCCAUUGGCGGACCUUUGGGGUUUGGAAUCCUCCCUUUUUUUGGAUGAUCAAUGCAUUUGAAUGGGAGCAUAUAGUUGGACCCCCCCUCCCCCCUUUCAGUCUUUACGAUGAAAUGUUAAAUCUACAGGCCCGGAGCUUAAUUUUUGAAAUUUUUAGUGAGAUUCUGUUGGCCUGUAGAUAUGAUUUUUAUAGACUCGAGAGCAAUUUUAUAAGCCUGGGCUGCCACUCAGCGUGAAGACUACCCUUUUACUCUGGUUUGGGAACCCUCUUUUUGCAAUGGCUGGAUCCGCCCCUGAUGUAUAACAUCACACACCAGCUUAUAUCCAUGAUAUCAGUCGAUCCAAACCUUUACCUCCCACCACAGUUCGUCAAAAACACCAGAUUCACCAAUUGACUACAAUAUCAAACUCUCAGCACCAGAACAGUUUUUUUUUCAUACAUAGUUGUACUCUGCCUCUGGAAUUCACUUUCACAAAACAUCAUAAGUGUUUACUCUUUGUAUCAGUUCAAAAAAACUGAUCCAAAGUCAGAAUAUUUAGAUAUUCAUUUAAAUAUAUGUAAAUCAGUUACUUUUUUCUUUUUGCACAAAUUAAAUUUUUGAUUUUUUCAAUUGUUACUUUUUAUUAACUGUGUUUGUGAUGG
This 1293-nucleotide long non-coding RNA is filed under the name Mytilus galloprovincialis (Mediterranean mussel). The record is from RNAcentral. Lineage: Eukaryota; Metazoa; Mollusca; Bivalvia; Mytilida; Mytilidae.